GAUUACUGGGGCGUAAAGCGUGCGUAGGUGGUCGUUUAAGUCCGUUGUGAAAGCCCUGGGCUCAACCUGGGAACUGCAGUGGAUACUGGGCGACUAGAAUGUGGUAGAGGGUAGCGGAAUUCCUGGUGUAGCAGUGAAAUGCGUAGAGAUCAGGAGGAACAUCCAUGGCGAAGGCAGCUACCUGGACCAACAUUGACACUGAGGCACGAAAGCGUGGGGAGCAAACAGGAUUAGAUACCCUGGUAGUCCACGCCCUACACGAUGCGAACUGGAUGUUGGGUGCA
Molecule: ribosomal RNA, 284 nt
Filed under: Stenotrophomonas sp. p69_B05
Lineage: Bacteria; Pseudomonadati; Pseudomonadota; Gammaproteobacteria; Lysobacterales; Lysobacteraceae
Description: partial 16S ribosomal RNA
Rfam family: Bacterial small subunit ribosomal RNA
Source: RNAcentral